RNAcentral lists this ribosomal RNA (242 nucleotides) under uncultured Erwinia sp. Its description in RNAcentral is "partial 16S ribosomal RNA". It matches the Rfam family "Bacterial small subunit ribosomal RNA", at positions 94 to 339 of the family's 1533-position model. The record is from RNAcentral. Lineage: Bacteria; Pseudomonadati; Pseudomonadota; Gammaproteobacteria; Enterobacterales; Erwiniaceae.
AGUGGCGGACGGGUGAGUAAUGUCUGGGAAACUGCCCGAUGGAGGGGGAUAACUACUGGAAACGGUAGCUAAUACCGCAUAACGUCUUCGGACCAAAGUGGGGGACCUUCGGGCCUCACACCAUCGGAUGUGCCCAGAUGGGAUUAGCUAGUAGGUGGGGUAAUGGCUCACCUAGGCGACGAUCCCUAGCUGGUCUGAGAGGAUGACCAGCCACACUGGAACUGAGACACGGUCCAGACUCC